This 497-nucleotide ribosomal RNA is filed under the name uncultured bacterium. RNAcentral describes it as "partial 16S ribosomal RNA". It matches the Rfam family "Bacterial small subunit ribosomal RNA", at positions 28 to 507 of the family's 1533-position model. The record is from RNAcentral.
GAUGAACGCUGGCGGCGUGCCUAAUACAUGCAAGUCGAGCGAACAGACGAGGCGCUUGCUCCUCUGACGUUAUCGGCUGACGUGUGAGUAACACGUGGAUAACCUACCUAUAAUACUGGGAUAACUUCGGGAAACCGUAUCUAAUACCGGAUAAUAUAUUGAACCUCAUGGUUCAAUAGUUCAAGACGGUUUUGCUGUCACUUAUAGAUGGAUCCGCGCCGCAUUAGCUAGUUGGUAAGGUAACGGCUUACCAAGGCAACGAUGCGUAGCCGACCUGAGAGGGUGAUCGGCCACACUGGAAGUGAGACACGGUACAGACGACUACGGGAGGCAGCAGUAGGGAAUAUGCCGCAAUGGGCGAAAGCUUGACGGAGCAAAGCCGAGUGAGUGAUGAAGGUCUUCGGAUCGUAAAACUCUGUUAUUAGGGAAGAACAAAUGUGUAAGUAACUAUGCACGUAUUGACGGUACCUAAUCAGAAAGCCACGGCUAACUACGUG